Molecule: ribosomal RNA, 106 nt
Filed under: Campylobacter coli
Lineage: Bacteria; Pseudomonadati; Campylobacterota; Epsilonproteobacteria; Campylobacterales; Campylobacteraceae
Description: partial 16S ribosomal RNA
Rfam family: Bacterial small subunit ribosomal RNA
Source: RNAcentral
UUUUAUGGAGAGUUUGAUCCUGGCUCAGAGUGAACGCUGGCGGCGUGCCUAAUACAUGCAAGUCGAACGAUGAAGCUUCUAGCUUGCUAGAAGUGGAUUAGUGGCG